Long non-coding RNA from Hydra vulgaris (swiftwater hydra), 599 nucleotides. RefSeq lists it as uncharacterized. The record is from RefSeq and is a predicted model, not a curated record. NCBI's taxonomy places the organism in Eukaryota, Metazoa, Cnidaria, Hydrozoa, Anthoathecata, Hydridae.
AAUACAUUACAUAAUUUUGUAAGACAUUAAAUAUCUUCUAUUUAAGCCAAACAGAUUUUGCUUCGAACAGAAGAAUUGUAAUGUACUACGAUGAAAAGUAAAGAGUCUGGGAAAACGCUGAACACGGGAUAGUUGACAGUCUCUUUUUGCUUGCUGAGAGGGGGUUUCACGCUCAGCUCCAGGCCAGUAGUUUAGUAAAGCCAAACAGAUUUUGCUUCGAACAGAAGAAUUGUAAUGUACUACGAUGAAAAGUAAAGAGUCUGGGAAAACGCUGAACACGGGAUAGUUGACAGUCUCUUUUUGCUUGCUGAGAGGGGGUUUCACGCUCAGCUCCAGGCCAGUAGUUUAGUAAAGUUUGCAGAGACCAUGCCCAAGUAUUCCGAGAAUGAACUAGAAAAUUACUUUGAAGAUAUCCUGAAAAGAUCGCAGGAUAGAAAAGGCCUCAGUGACCGUGAAAAACUAAACCACAACGACAGCUUUUAAUUUGUUUUUUAGAUAAUUAUAAUUUAAUAUAUGUUUUUUGUUGAUAUGUAUUUUUAUAUAUAUUUAAAACUUUUGUAUAAUUCUAGUUUUAUGUUUUAUUCGUUUUAAUAAAUAAU